This 72-nucleotide transfer RNA is filed under the name Ephedra przewalskii. RNAcentral's name for it is "tRNA-Val". Lineage: Eukaryota; Viridiplantae; Streptophyta; Gnetopsida; Ephedrales; Ephedraceae. The record is from RNAcentral.
GAGGAUAGGGAUAAGUAUACUGUAGGGUGAACUCCUAAUGGAUACAAGUUAUGCCUUGGGAUGCGAUACAGA